UACGAAGGGGGCUAGCGUUGUUCGGAAUUACUGGGCGUAAAGCGCACGUAGGCGGGUCGUUAAGUCAGGGGUGAAAUCCCGGAGCUCAACUCCGGAACUGCCUUUGAUACUGGCGGCCUCGAGGCCGGAAGAGGUUAGUGGAAUUCCCAGUGUAGAGGUGAAAUUCGUAGAUAUUGGGAAGAACACCAGUGGCGAAGGCGGCUAACUGGUCCGGAUCUGACGCUGAGGUGCGAAAGCCAGGGGAGCAAACGGG
RNAcentral lists this ribosomal RNA (253 nucleotides) under uncultured bacterium. RNAcentral describes it as "partial 16S ribosomal RNA". It matches the Rfam family "Bacterial small subunit ribosomal RNA", at positions 524 to 776 of the family's 1533-position model. The record is from RNAcentral.